This 253-nucleotide ribosomal RNA is filed under the name uncultured bacterium. RNAcentral's name for it is "partial 16S ribosomal RNA". It matches the Rfam family "Bacterial small subunit ribosomal RNA", at positions 524 to 776 of the family's 1533-position model. The record is from RNAcentral.
UACGCAGGGGGCUAGCGUUGCUCGGAAUCACUGGGCGUAAAGGGUGCGUAGGCGGGUCUUUAAGUCAGGGGGGAAAUCCUGGAGCUCAACUCCAGAACUGCCUUUGAUACUGAAGAUCUUGAGUUCGGGAGAGGUGAGUGGAACUGCGAGUGUAGAGGUGAAAUUCGUAGAUAUUCGCAAGAACACCAGUGGCGAAGGCGGCUCACUGGCCCGAUACUGACGCUGAGGCACGAAAGCGUGGGGAGCAAACAGG